UUUAAUUCGAUGCAACGCGAAAAACCUUACCUACCCUUGACAUGGCAGGAAUCCUGAAGAGAUUUAGGAGUGCUCGAAAGAGAACCUGCACACAGGUGCUGCAUGGCCGUCGUCAGCUCGUGUCGUGAGAUGUUGGGUUAAGUCCCGCAACGAGCGCAACCCUUGUCAUUAGUUGCUACGAAAGGGCACUCUAAUGAGACUGCCGGUGACAAACCGGAGGAAGGUGGGGAUGACGUCAGGUCCUCAUGGCCCUUAUGGGUAGGGCUACACACGUCAUACAAUGGCCGGGACAGAGGGCUGCCAACCCGCGAGGGGGAGCCAAUCCCAGAAACCCGGUCGUAGUCCGGAUCGCAGUCUGCAACUCGACUGCGUGAAGUCGGAAUCGCUAGUAA
Molecule: ribosomal RNA, 392 nt
Filed under: unidentified activated sludge bacterium CL05
Lineage: Bacteria
Description: bacterial SSU rRNA
Rfam family: Bacterial small subunit ribosomal RNA
Source: RNAcentral